Molecule: non-coding RNA, 1508 nt
Organism: Malus domestica (apple)
Lineage: Eukaryota; Viridiplantae; Streptophyta; Magnoliopsida; Rosales; Rosaceae
Source: RefSeq, a predicted model, not a curated record
GCUGCCAAACAAUGGGGUUAGGCUGGAUUUCUCCUCCUCAAAUCAAGGGUUGGUGUCGAUGAUAGAAAGAUUGAGAGGGAUGGGAGAGACCCAUUUGGCCUUCAUUUUCCCCUUUCUCUCUCUCGGUCUCUCCUCCACCAUACUCAAUCCUUUGCUUCUCAUCCGUGUGCCUCUAGAUUCGAUCUUCUUUUUCUGUUCCUCUCUUGGCACGCGUCCAUCAUUGUUGCCGUUUCUAUUUCAGUUCUCUGCUUUCCAUUUCUUCUCUCUCUCCCUCUUCUCAGUGUUUUGCAAGCUUUUCUCCCUGUCUCUUUGUCGCCAUGGUCUCCAUUGCUCUCAAACUUUCGUUUCUAUCCUGUCAAAUCUUGGCUCACUGGAAAAAUCCGAAGCAGUUUAAGCUUCUUUAGCUUUUUGAUUUGGAUUGAAGAUGAUUUUAAGCCAAAAAGGUUAAUGUUUUCUGGAGACGUUACUCUUCAUUGUUUGGGGCUUUUGUGUGAAGCUUUUGAAGCCCUUUGUGCUCAAGGCUAUGAUGAGACUAGCAACAAUUGGGAUGACUACUUGAGAUAUGUAAAUCCUGAGGGAGUAUAAAUGAUUUCUAAAGGAGGAACGCCCGAACUGGAGAAAUGUGCAGUUAAGGCUGUUUAAGAUCGUUAUGACGUUGUGCACCGUGACAUCCUUUCUAUGGACCUGAGGAUGCUCAAAGGAUGAUAAACAAGAAAAGAAAAUCACAGAUUGCAAAUUAGAUGGACAAAAAAGGCAAUAGAAAUUCAUAGGUCCCACAUCCGUGACAUAAAAGGUAUGAAAUUGUUAAUUGAUAAUUGAACAUAAAUGUAGAACUGAUUGCUACAAAUAAGUAUGGUUACUUUUGUAUCACAUUCUUAAUUAAGAUGGUUAUGCAGUCAUUUUUGUAAUUGUGUAUCUAUCAGCUCUGUACUGACUUACAAGUUACACACACCUCAAAAUUUUCAUUUUCUUUCAAACAAUCUUGAUCCGCAAUAUCUGCAGGAUUGCAAUGAAAUAAUUGUGAGCAGCAUGUAUAAUGGGAAGGAUUUACAAAGGUUUCAACUAUUGAACUUGCUUAUGCUCUUAUUUGAGUAAAAAAAGAUUUAGUAGGACAAACUCGAAUUGGCUUAAUUCCAUUUAUCAUUGAUAAUUUGAUUCUGUUAUUCAUAGACCAUUCUUCCGAAUCUCUGAGUUCGAAUGUGACCAAUUUUUGCAUUUUUAUGUUUAAUUUUAGGAAGAAAUGAAAAUGAGUUUUGCCUUUUUUUUAGUGUUUCGUUAGUACUAGCUUGCUGCAUAUGCUAUUCUCUGGGUGUAAAUAUAAUUAUCUAAGCAAGCUCAUUUAUUUUUGAACUCUUUAACUGAUUUGUGGCUGCAACAAGAUUUUUUUUUCGGAUUUUUCCCAGUCUUUUUAACAGUAUUAGGUUUCUGUCCUGCAUGUCACCAGGCUUAUUCUUUUUCAAUUCACAUUAAUCACGAAUUUAUAGUUGAUUGGAUUUCAUUUUGACUGC